Molecule: ribosomal RNA, 586 nt
Filed under: Escherichia coli
Lineage: Bacteria; Pseudomonadati; Pseudomonadota; Gammaproteobacteria; Enterobacterales; Enterobacteriaceae
Description: bacterial SSU rRNA
Rfam family: Bacterial small subunit ribosomal RNA
Source: RNAcentral
CUUUCCUGGAAGCUAGACGUGUUGAAGUGCGAAGUGUCUGGGGAGGUUGGCCCGGAAGGUGUAAAAGUGAAAUGAAUUGAGGGGGGCCAGGAAGAAGUGGUGGAGUAUGUGGUUUAAUUAGAUGGAACGAGAAGAGCCUUAUCUGGUCUUGACAUGCAGGGAAGUUUUAAGAGAUGGGAAGGUGCUUUGGGGAAAAGUGAGACAGGUGAUGCAUGGAUGUUGUCAGCUUGUGUUGUGAAAUGUUGGGUUAAGUACCGCAAGGAGUGCAACACUUAUGCUUUGUUGCCAGAGGUGGGGCGGGGAACUCAAAGGAGAUUGCCAGUGAUAAACUGGAGGAGAGGUGGGGAUGAGGUCAAGUGAUCAUGGGCGUUAGGACAAGGGCUACACAAGUGCUGACAAUGGCGCAUACAAAGAGAAGCGACCUCGCGAGAGCAAGGCGGACCUCAUAAGAGUGUGUCGUAGUCAGGAUUGGAGUCUGCAACUUGACUGCAUGAAGUAGGAAUUGCUAGUAAUGGUGGAUCAGAAUGUCACGGUGAAUAUGUUCCAGGGCGUUGUACACACCGCCCGUCACAGCAUGGGAGUGGGU